Long non-coding RNA from Brachypodium distachyon (stiff brome), 1605 nucleotides. RefSeq lists it as uncharacterized. The transcript has 2 exons. The record is from RefSeq and is a predicted model, not a curated record. Lineage: Eukaryota; Viridiplantae; Streptophyta; Magnoliopsida; Poales; Poaceae.
CCGCCGCCGACCAAGGCCUCUCUCUGCUCUGGCUUCUCUUCGAGUAGCACUCGUGUUGUUCUUGUCAGCAAUUGCAGUUCGAUUUUUUUGGUUCCGUUUGCUUCUAUAGCAUCUUCGUUUUCGUUUUUUCGUCAAUUACUCAUUCGUAUUGCUGGGUUGAUUUGAUCCGGGGAGCAUUGUCCCAAUGUCUUUGGCCGCCGCUUCUCUCGGCGGAUCCGAGUUCAACUAUGCUCCCGAGAGCUAAAUCCGGUGGCGCUUAGAGCGCAGAUCCGACCAGAUGGAUACUGGGUUACGCUCGCCCCCAAAUUCCUUUCCUCCCGCCGCUUGAAUCUUUUGGUUUAUCUCGUUUUGCUAUCGAUUGGGUUCUGAACAAGUGUUGCGGUUGGCUUGGUGCAGUGAUUAUACAAACAUUCCUCGAACUGACGGGAGAUCCCCCGUGAUCGACUCCUAUACACCCAUAGAAUCUGAGCGCCAUCCCAUACUUCCUAGCCCUGUUCAGUUUUAUAUCCUUUUUGUUUUCGUUUCUUUGUUUCCCGUCCGAGAUUUGUUUUACGCUGUUCUUUAUCUUGAACGUUUUGGUCUGCUGUUUGUCCGUGUGUUGGUUAUGAUUUAAGUGAUUCGCGGCAUUGAUAUGUCGCCUUCGAGAGAAGCGGGUGGAUUGUUUGGUGCCAUGCCGGUUCCGUUGCGGGCGUAGACCGAUCUUUUAGAGCCUCCACCGUGUCUCACCCAUCGCAUCUUCUGUUGUUGGGUGUCGGAUUGGUUCUUGGAAAUUUUCAGUUUCCCGUUCAUGUAUUGCUUUUCUGUUAAUUUUUUAGAAGUAAUAUUAAUGAACGAAGUUUGCCAAUUUUGUUGUGCUAGUUUGCUUCAGUUGGAUUGAUUACUAUCUGAACAAAGAUGUUGAUUUGAACGAGGGAUGGUUGUGAUUUGGUGCAGUGAUUAUAAAAACAUUCCUCGUACUGACGGGAUCUCCCCUGUGAACGACUACUAUACACCCAUAGAAUCUGAGCACCAAUCAAUCAUUUCAGUUGGUUUCGUCUCUUUUUUGGUGAACACCGGCUUAUCUCGAAAGGGAACCCGUAGUGUCAGCACAAUCUCAAUCGAGACAAAGGGGAAGAGCGUCAUCUCUGCUUGGUGGAGUAGUUUUUGGUCCUUUUGGAAUUCAGCCGGGCGGAGGCCGCGGCCGUAGUGAUGCGAUCGUUGCAGCCCAAAUUGCAGGCUAGGAAAUUUUCCAUGCCCCGGGCCACGGCCCAGGUUCCUCGUGGCCCAGACCGUCCGUGGAGGACGAGGCCCGUGUCGUACAGCAAGUAUCUGGAUCUGAGCUGAAUUUGCUGAACGUGAAGAAAGAAAAAUGACAAGAGACUACAGUGAAUAGUGCGAGGGGGUGGACACCUCGAUGGAACGCAUGGAAUGGUGAGAUUCCAUGUUGAUGGAGGAAUUAAAUUGCAGAGAACACCAAUGGUGCGGUGCGGUAUGUGGCAGCGGGUUGCAGGGAACAGAACCGGGAUCGUUAAAUUUGCAACUUGUCUUGAGGCCGGAAGACACGUAUGGUUUGUAAUUUUGUAUCCCUGUAAACAUUGCAAUACAAUAAAAGGUUUUCCCCGCUGA